GUUCUGUUUGUUCUGGGUAACAGUGCCCCCACCCUCACUGUCCUGCCCCCCUCUAGUGAGCAGCUGUCCAGUACAACAACAGCCACACUGACAUGUCUGGCCAACAAGGGCUUCCCCUCAGACUGGACCAUGAGCUGGAAUGUGGACGGGACCAGCCAGAAGCAGGAGGCCAAUCCCGGGGUCCUGGAGAAGGCCGGCCUGUACAGCUGGAGCAGCACCCUGACUCUCACUGCCCAGGAGUGGACCAAGCCAGGAGGUGUGACCUGUGAAGCCCAGCAGAAAUCCCAGACUCCAGUCACCAAGACCUUGAGGAAGGCUGACUGUUCUGGGUAGAACCCCUCAGUGACACACCCCUGUGGAGAGUUCCUCUGCUUUGACACCCCUGCUGAUUCCUCUGCUUUGACUCUGUUCUGAGUUCAGAUGUUCUCUGUCUUAUUGAUCACUGAUAUGUAGACUAACAGUGGGCUUUUCUUGAGUUCAUGUGUCAUUCCUCUCUGUAGACUGAGGUUGUAUGAAGAGAAGACCCAGAUGCAGACCACUUUGAAUAAACAAUAGUUCAAUGUUCCAACAGGGGCAGGCAGUAGACAGGUCAAUGCAGGCAGGGGUCAGAAAACCAGAGGUCGGCAACGGUACCGGAUAGCAGGCAGACUCAGGGUCUGGGUAAGGCAGAGGCAGGCGGGCUCAGAGUCAGGACAGGCAAGGGUCAAAACCAGGAGGGCAAGAAAAGAGAGACUAGAAAAAGCAUGAGCUGAGACACAAAACACUGGUUGACUCAAACAAACAAGAUGAACUAGCAACAGACCAACAGAGAACACAGGUAUAAAUACACAGGGGAUAAUGGGGAAGAAGGGCGACACCUGGAGGGGGGUGGAGACAAUCACAAAGACAGGUGAAACAGAUCAGGAUGUGACAGUAUCAGUGUGAGAUGUGAUGUGUUCUGUUUUAUUACUAUUAGAUACUACAGGAAUGUUUGCUU
This is a non-coding RNA of Oncorhynchus nerka (sockeye salmon), 976 nucleotides long. Lineage: Eukaryota; Metazoa; Chordata; Actinopteri; Salmoniformes; Salmonidae. The record is from the annotation of a RefSeq genome assembly.